AGAGUUUGAUCCUGGCUCAGGAUGAACGCUGGCGGCGUGCUUAACACAUGCAAGUCGAACGGGUGCUUGGGGAAACUUGAGCGCUAGUGGCAAACGGGUGCGUAACACGUGGGUGACCUACCUCGAAGUGGGGAAUAACGGUCCGAAAGGAUCGCUAAUACCGCAUGUUCUCGAUGAUUCAUUUUAUCGAGUAAAACCGCAAGGUGCUUUGAGAGGGGCCCGCGUCCCAUCAGGUAGUUGGUGAGGUAAUGGCCCACCAAGCCAAUGACGGGUAGCUGGUCUGAGAGGACGACCAGCCACAAUGGAACUGAGAUACGGUCCAUACUCCUACGGGAGGCAGCAGUGAGGAAUAUUGCACAAUGGACGAAAGUCUGAUGCAGCGACGCCGCGUGGGUGAUGAAGGCCCUCGGGUCGUAAAACCCUUUUGGCAGGGACGAGUGAGGACGGUACCUGCAGAAUAAGUCUCGGCUAACUACGUGCCAGCAGCCGCGGUAAAACGUAGGAGGCGAGCGUUAUCCGGAUUUACUGGGCGUAAAGCGCGCGUAGGCGGUCGGGUAAGUCAGAUGUUAAAGCCCCUGGCUCAACUGGGGGAGGUCAUUUGAUACUGCUCGGCUUGAGGGUGAGAGAGGAGAGCGGAAUUCCCGGUGUAGCGGUGGAAUGCGUAGAGAUCGGGAGGAACACCAGUGGCGAAAGCGGCUCUCUGGCUCAUCUCUGACGCUGAGUGCGCGAAAGCGUGGGGAGCAAACGGGAUUAGAUACCCCGGUAGUCCACGCCCUAAACGAUGAGAGCUGGGUGUCGGCAGGGUUUCCUGUCGGUGCCGAAGCAAACGCGUUAAGCUCUCCGCCUGGGGACUACGAACGCAAGUUUAAAACUCAAAGGAAUAGACAGGGGGCCCGCACAAGCAGCGGAGCGUGUGGUUCAAUUCGAUGUAACACGAAGAAACCUUACCAGGGUUUGACAUGUAUGUGGUAGGAAUCUGAAAAGGGGCCCGACCCGCAAGGGAGCAUGCACAGGUGCUGCAUGGCUGUCGUCAGC
This 1035-nucleotide ribosomal RNA is filed under the name uncultured bacterium. RNAcentral's name for it is "bacterial SSU rRNA". It matches the Rfam family "Bacterial small subunit ribosomal RNA", at positions 8 to 1059 of the family's 1533-position model. The record is from RNAcentral.